UCUUCUAGGAUUUUCUUGGUUUUUUUCUUUUUUUUUCUUAUUGUUUGAGGUUUUGUUGAUUGAUUCGCAUUUGUUGUUUGUUGUGCAGGUAUGAUGUGAUUUUCGCAGGGAAAAGAAUCUGAUAGCAUGAAGCAUUUGAUAAAUCUCUUUGUCUCUCUUGCUUAAAUCUUUUAUUUUAAUUGACUGCUCAUUGCAAUCGAUGUUGUUGGUGUUGUUUUGUAGGGUGCAAAUGAAACAAAACUUUUGCUUCCCACAGGUCGCAUUGUCUAUGAGUUUAAACAGAUUAAAAUCGUUUUCCCUAUAAAUCUUCUCAAUAUAUAGCGUCCGAGCAAAUUCCAAACCCAUUGAUUUAGCCGCUUCGCUCUAUUUAGGGAGGCUUGCAUUUUCAUUUUUAUUUUAUUUUAUGAUAUAAGUGGUUGUCGUUUGUUUUGCAGGUAUUCUCGAUUACGUUGCUUCUCUUCCGGAAACAACUCGGGUGAUUUUUUUUAUCUUGCUUUGAAGUCUGUUCGCAGCCAAAAUUGUUGGUUGUGUGGCGAUGCUACUGGUAGAGAUCACACUUGGACGAGCAUCGAUGGUCAUAGCUUUUGUCACUUUAAGGAAGAUCAACAGAAGCAAGCUGAGAGUGCAAAAAGGCAUCUUAACAUGCACUACCACAACCGUUCCAAAUCUCACAAUAAUAUCCGAUAUUAAUGUUAGAAAGACCUCAAAGAUUUUAGUUGGUUAACUAAUGGAAUUAACACUCUUUAGGUCAUACGGGUACUUUCAUAUUAAUAAUAUGAUUUCAGGUGAUUUUCUUCAGUUGUGGUUAAAAACCGAGAAAGUUUUCUUCUUACAAUUUCUGACCCAACCGUGAAAUAUUUCAGCCAAUAAAAACAUCGUGUUAUUUCACACCAACCAUACUUCGGCUGGGAACACCACGGAAAUUAUUUUCCAGUUUACGAAUAUCAGACCUAGCUACUACACCAAAACACGUAAACUAUUUUCUAGUUUACGAAUAUCAGACCUAGCUAUUACACCAAACACUAAUCACCGAUCUCUGCUGCUUCGGUAAUCCUUCUCCACAGAAGAAAACAUAAAUCUCUCCAUUAAAGGGCUAUCCAGAUAAGAAUGGUUCAUGAUAUUUGACUAAUUAAAACUAAUUUUAGUUCUCCCUUUUCUUUCCGCUUCUUCUUUGCUUGCCGUUUCUUUUCUAUUGAUCGUUCUUUUAUAUUCAAAACACAUAUCUGAUAUCAUAUGCCUCGAUUUUCAAUGGAUUGUUCUAUUUUUUUUGUAUUGAUUACUCAGGUACAACUCUCUUCUUUUUCAUAACCCUAGAUUUCUGUAUCUAUCAACAAUGGCGGAUGAGACGGAGGAAGUUGAAGAGAAGAAAAUCCAUGCUACAAAUCAAACCCUAAUCACUGAUGGUGAAUCAAUUAGAAUACUGAGUUUUGGGAUCUUCUUUUCGAUGAUUUUACGUUCAUAUACUUCGUCCUUGAUUUUGAUGCAAGGCUUAGUCCGCACACGAAAUAAGGUAGGUUCCAACAACCAAAGUCGUAAAACCUUUAUCCCAAAACCAACUAACACCCUAAAUUUCUAUUCUCUUCUCUUUUGUGAUUCUAUUCUCUUCACUUUUUUGGUUAUCCAAUGGUGUGUAGCACUGGAACUUUACUCACUUUUUUCUUUUAUUUUUCCUCCAUUUACUCGCCGUUUCAUCUCUUUUCUCCUCCAUAUAUGUUUUGAUUUUUGGUUGGUUGUUCUAUUUUUAUUUUGCAGAUGAUACUCCAUGUAUGUUUUGAUUUUCUUUUGGUUGUUCUAUUUUUAGUUUGCAGAUGAUAAUACAUGGAUGUACAACAGAGAUUUGAUUUUGCGCUUUAAGGUUCUUAUUUUCGAUUAUUAACUAUUCUAUUUUCCUUUAAUUGGUUGCAGCAAGUCUCUUGCUUUUUGGUAAGGUCAAAACUCCAGUUCCACUCUCUUGCUUUAUAUGGCGCUAAUUAUGUAUUACAUUUGGAUUUGUUUCAUUGAUGCUGGAAUAAUUCAGUGGUUCUCUUGGAAGACAGAAUACUGCCGAAGGAACAGUUCCGUCAAAUUCAUAAGAACAUACAAUUUUUUUGGUGGUGUAUUUCAAGUUUGGAGCGGGUAAUUUGUGCACCUACUUACAAAAAUGUUUCUUCAAACUAGAACCGAUGCUCUGAUGGAGUUCAUACAACAUCAUGAGAGAAACAAAAAACUGCGUGGUCGGUAUUUCUCGGUUUUCUUUGUUUGGUAAACAAUAUUUAUAUUUGAAUGGAAAAUGGGAAGACCGAAGACUCUAAUGCAUCAGUGCAUUCACUUCACAGACACAUAUAAGCUUGAGAACUCAAUUUGACUAAUGAUUGGUGUGGUUGGACGUUAUGGCACGGUUGCAUGGGAAGGAUGUCAAACAACAUUCUUACUUAUGAAGCGAGAUUAGAUUCUCGGAUCAUAAAUCUAAAUAUAUUUUAUUUAUGUAGUACUUUUGAUAUCUUCCACGUUGAAAGACACACAGUCACUUGCACAUGACAUUGAUUUCUUGCUGAUACUAAUGUUUCUUCUUUUCUUAAUUGAUUUGAUAUCCAUGUUCAACGGAAAAUGGGUACAAUAUGAUGCAUAGGGUUUGAUAAUCUUCACAUUUACAUGGAAUUACUGUUUACGUUUGUAAGGACCCUCAAGUACGUCAACGUUAUUAGACCAUUCAAGAGACAUUUUAGCCGAUAAUAACUCGAUUAGUUUAACACGAACGUUAAUUAAUAAAAAUUAAUAUAACAACGUGUUAGAUAUGAAACUAGUAUCGUUAGAUAGAUCUCGAAAAAUUACGCGGAAUAGACUACUCGCACGCGUCAUUUGAACACUGAGUGAAGAAGAUUUAUCAAUUUGUUUUCGGAGGGUAAAAUAGUAAUUUUGGAUAUUACCCUGGUGGCUGCACGUGUCAAAGCAUGUGGGUGUCUUACUGUUUCUUUUGGUCUUAUCUAGAGUCUAGACCGGGUAGAGAAGAUAAACUCUUCUUUCUCUUCUUCUUUUUCUUUGUUAUUCUUUUUCUUCUUUUCUUCUCUCUUUCUUCUUCUGUUCUUUCUUCUUUCAUUAUUUCCGUCGAUUUCAAGUCGACGAAGCGAACUUGUUUUGAUGUGGGUGUUUCGUAGAAGCUUGUAGAUGUAUCAGAGGAGUAGGUGAUGAUGUUGAAGUGGUUUGAGUUCCCGGAGAAGAAGAGAUUGAUGUUGUUGGAAACUGGAGAAUUAAGGUUCUUGAGUCGAUUGAAUUUUUGUGUGAGAUGAAGGGUGGAUAACAAAUUGAAAAUGGGUUUCGAGAUCCUGAAUAUAAGAAGGAGAUUGUUGUGUUAAUUUGAUGAUUAGGUUUCAGAGAAGAAGAUUAAUCAUGAAGAAGAAAUUAGGGUUUGUCAGAAGAUUGUGUAGAAGUUCGAUUAGAAGAUGAAUUUGAUGUUUUAAAAAGGGGAUUUGAGAUGGGUUUUGACAGAUUGAAUGAAUUAGGGUUGAAGAUAAAGAAUAAUUAGAGUUUUCAUAGAAUCAUUGAUGGUGUUGAAGUUUAGUGAGUUUUGGAUGAACUGUGAUGUUUGCUGAACUGAAUCAGGGUAAAGAAGAAGUUUAUGAUAUUGAUUUGCAGAUUCAGUUACAGAGAAGGAUUCUAAUUUCAGAAUUGAGGUAAUUGUCUUACUCUGUAAUUUUAGUAAGAUUAUUAUCUUGUUGUUGUGGUUCAAGUGUUGUGGUCUUGAUUUUGAUUAUCUCAUUUAAAUGGUGAUGAAUGAAGAUUAUUAAGUUUAUAAUUUGUUAUUGAAUAAGAAUUGUAAUGGACAUGGUAGAUAUGAGAUACAAUUGUGGUAUGCUCUGAGAAGGUUUUGGGUAUGUGCUUGUGUUACUGGUGAUGGUUCUGUAUAAUGAAUGAGACUAAGUUGCAGUUGUAGGUUAGGUUUGGGUGUUGAAUUGCAGUUGAGUUAAUGAAAGAUAUAAACAUCCUGAAGUUGGUAAUGAUGUUGUUGUUGAGGGUGAAAUGAAUAUGUGGUGAAAGUUAUAGUUAGAGUCUGGUGGAACUACUACAAAGGAGUUGGUGCUGAAUUGGGGUAUGAAGAUGAGUUAGUGGAAUUGCAAAUGAUGCUGUUAAGAUUUGGAAAAAUUAUAGGCUUGAGAGGGUGGCAUACUAGCUAUGGUUGUUGUUGUUGUGUUGAAUGGAAUUGCAAAAGUGUCCUGAGUUUGAGAUAUAAUGGUUAAGCAGUGGAUUGAUUGCUAGUGAUGUGUUGUUAUUGUGGAGAUGGUGUUACUGCUGUAGUAUUGUGGAGUGCAGGGAAGAAGUUAGUGGUCUAUUGCUGAAUUGGAUUUAAGGAGUUGUGGAUGUUGCUUAGAGCCUGUAAUGCUGAGAUUAGGUUAUGUGAAGUGGAGUUGGUAGUAGUAGAAAAAGAGAAAGCUUAGAGCUGCAAUUUCAGUUAGUUAUUAACAAAGAUCGAUUCAAAUGAUGAAUCAGUGGAUCGUGGAUCUCGACGUAGGCGUGGCUUGUCAUCAAAAGAGAGACAGAUCAGAGUUGCGCAGCGAAAGCUUUGAGGAGUUUGAGACCGUUAGUUAGAUUACUUCGGCUAUGUUUAUUAUGUUGCAUAUUAUAUUUGUAAACCAAAUGACUAUUGUAUAUGUAUUAUUUGAAAUGAGUUCUUGUA
Long non-coding RNA from Papaver somniferum (opium poppy), 4651 nucleotides. RefSeq lists it as uncharacterized. The transcript has 4 exons. Lineage: Eukaryota; Viridiplantae; Streptophyta; Magnoliopsida; Ranunculales; Papaveraceae. The record is from RefSeq and is a predicted model, not a curated record.